RNAcentral lists this ribosomal RNA (457 nucleotides) under uncultured bacterium. RNAcentral's name for it is "bacterial SSU rRNA". It matches the Rfam family "Bacterial small subunit ribosomal RNA", at positions 340 to 786 of the family's 1533-position model. The record is from RNAcentral.
UACGGGAAGGCAGCAGUGGGGAAUAUUGCACAAUGGGCGAAAGCCUGAUGCAGCUAUGCCGCGUGUAUGAAGAAGGCCUUAGGGUUGUAAAGUACUUUCAUCGGGGAGGAAAAAACAAAACUAAUAAUUUUAUUUCUUGACGUUACCCGAAAAAGAAGCACCGGCUAACUCCGUGCCAGCAGCCGCGGUAAUACGGAGGGUGCUAGCGUUAAUCAGAAUUACUGGGCGUAAAGAGCACGUAGGUGGUUUUUUAAGUCAGAUGUGAAAUCCCUGGGCUUAACCUAGGAACUGCAUUUUGAAACUGAAAUACUAGAGUAUCGUAGAGGGAGGUAGAAUUCUAGGUGUAGCGGUGAAAUGCGUAGAUAUCUGGAGGAAUACCUGUGGCGAAAGCGGCCUCCUAAACGAAUACUGACACUGAGGGUGCGAAAGCGUGGGGAGCAAACAGGGAUUAGAUACC